Long non-coding RNA from Centruroides sculpturatus (bark scorpion), 326 nucleotides. RefSeq lists it as uncharacterized. The transcript is spliced from 2 exons. The record is from RefSeq and is a predicted model, not a curated record. Lineage: Eukaryota; Metazoa; Arthropoda; Arachnida; Scorpiones; Buthidae.
GUUUGAUAAAUUUGAUUAAAAAUGAAAGCAAUCGUUGUUCUUCUUAUCAUGGCUCUCGUCUUAUGCCUUUAUGCCAUGAUGACCGUGGAAGGUGCUUGCCAAUUUUGGAGUUGCAACAGUAGUUGUAUUUCGAGAGGAUAUAGACAAGGGUAUUGCUGGGGAAUACAGUAUAAAUAUUGCCAGUGUCAAUAAAAUCUUUCUUAAUAUCUCUGUAGUUGAUUACCACUGAAAUUUGUUUUUAAGUAACUCAACGUUGUAACGUCUUGCAGAUAUGUAUAUCCCUGAAUAAUAAUUUGUAAUUAAUAAAGAAAUAUUCUUUAAAGUUA